ACUGAGACACGGCCCAGACUCCUACGGGAGGCAGCAGUGGGAAUAUGCACAAGUGGGCGAAAGCCUGAUGCAGCGACGCCGCGUGAGGGAUGACGGCUUCGGGUUGUAAACCUCUUUCAGCAGGGAAGAAGCGAAAGUGACGGUACCUGCAGAAGAAGCACCGGCUAACUACGUGCCAGCAGCCGCGGUAAUACGUAGGGUGCGAGCGUUGUCCGGAAUUAUUGGGCGUAAAGAGCUUGUAGGCGGUUUGUCGCGUCUGCAGUGAAAAUCCGAGGCUCAACCUCGGACUUGCUGUGGGUACGGGCAGACUAGAGUAUGGUAGGGGAGACCGGAAUUCCUGGUGUAGCGGUGGAAUGCGCAGAUAUCAGGAGGAACACCGAUGGCGAAGGCAGGUCUCUGGGCCAUAACUGACGCUGAGAAGCGAAAGCAUGGGGGAGC
This 438-nucleotide ribosomal RNA is filed under the name uncultured bacterium. RNAcentral's name for it is "bacterial SSU rRNA". It matches the Rfam family "Bacterial small subunit ribosomal RNA", at positions 318 to 769 of the family's 1533-position model. The record is from RNAcentral.